CAUAUCAAUAAGCGGAGGAAAAGAAACCAACAGGGAUUGCCCUAGUAACGGCGAGUGAAGCGGCAACAGCUCAAAUUUGAAAUCUGGCUUCGGCCCGAGUUGUAAUUUGCAGAGGAAGCUUUAGGCGCGGCACCUUCUGAGUCCCCUGGAACGGGGCGCCAUAGAGGGUGAGAGCCCCGUAUAGUUGGAUGCCUAGCCUGUGUAAAGCUCCUUCGACGAGUCGAGUAGUUUGGGAAUGCUGCUCAAAAUGGGAGGUAAAUUUCUUCUAAAGCUAAAUACCGGCCAGAGACCGAUAGCGCACAAGUAGAGUGAUCGAAAGAUGAAAAGCACUUUGAAAAGAGGGUUAAAUAGCACGUGAAAUUGUUGAAAGGGAAGCGCUUGUGACCAGACUUGCGCCGGGCUGAUCAUCCGGUGUUCUCACCGGUGCACUCGGCCCGGCUCAGGCCAGCAUCGGUUCUCGCGGGGGGAUAAAGGCCCUGGGAACGUAGCUCCUCCGGGAGUGUUAUAGCCCAGGGCGCAAUGCCCUCGCGGGGACCGAGGUUCGCGCAUCUGCAAGGAUGCUGGCGUAAUGGUCAUCAGCGACCCGUCUUGAAACACGGACCAAGGAGUCAAGGUUUUGCGCGAGUGUUUGGGUGUAAAACCCGCACGCGUAAUGAAAGUGAACGUAGGUGAGAGCUUCGGCGCAUCAUCGACCGAUCCUGAUGUUUUCGGAUGGAUUUGAGUAGGAGCGUUAAGCCUUGGACCCGAAAGAUGGUGAACUAUGCUUGGAUAGGGUGAAGCCAGAGGAAACUCUGGUGGAGGCUCGCAGCGGUUCUGACGUGCAAAUCGAUCGUCAAAUCUGAGCAUGGGGGCGAAAGACUAAUCGAACCAUCUAGUAGCUGGUUACCGCCGAAGUUUCCCUCAGGAUAGCAGUGUUGUCUUCAGUUUUAUGAGGUAAAGCGAAUGAUUAGGGACUCGGGGGCGCUUUUUAGCCUUCAUCCAUUCUCAAACUUUAAAUAUGUAAGAAGCCCUUGUUACUUAAUUGAACGUGGGCAUUCGAAUGUACCAACACUAGUGGGCCAUUUUUGGU
This 1069-nucleotide ribosomal RNA is filed under the name Chaetomiaceae sp. H2a. Its description in RNAcentral is "eukaryotic LSU rRNA". It matches the Rfam family "Eukaryotic large subunit ribosomal RNA", at positions 39 to 1141 of the family's 3401-position model. Lineage: Eukaryota; Fungi; Ascomycota; Sordariomycetes; Sordariales; Chaetomiaceae. The record is from RNAcentral.